GACGAACGCUGGCGGCGUGCUUAACACAUGCAAGUCGAACGGAAAGGCCCUGCUUUUGUGGGGUGCUCGAGUGGCGAACGGGUGAGUAACACGUGAGUAACCUGCCCUUGACUUUGGGAUAACUUCAGGAAACUGGGGCUAAUACCGGAUAGGAGCUCCUGCUGCAUGGUGGGGGUUGGAAAGUUUCGGCGGUUGGGGAUGGACUCGCGGCUUAUCAGCUUGUUGGUGGGGUAGUGGCUUACCAAGGCUUUGACGGGUAGCCGGCCUGAGAGGGUGACCGGCCACAUUGGGCCUGAGAUACGGCCCAGACUCCUACGGGAGGCAGCAGUGGGGAAUAUUGCACAAUGGGCGGAAGCCGGAUGCAGCAACGCCGCGUGCGGGAUGACGGCCUUCGGGUUGUAAAACGCUUUCGCCUGUGACGAAGCGUGAGUGACGGUAAUGGGUAAAGAAGCACCGGCUAACUACGU
Molecule: ribosomal RNA, 467 nt
Filed under: uncultured bacterium
Lineage: Bacteria
Description: partial 16S ribosomal RNA
Rfam family: Bacterial small subunit ribosomal RNA
Source: RNAcentral